Molecule: ribosomal RNA, 1438 nt
Filed under: uncultured organism
Description: 16S ribosomal RNA
Rfam family: Bacterial small subunit ribosomal RNA
Source: RNAcentral
CAGGCUUAACACAUGCAAGUCGAGGGGCAGCAUGGUCUUAGCUUGCUAAGGCCGAUGGCGACCGGCGCACGGGUGAGUAACACGUAUCCAACCUGCCGUCUACUCUUGGACAGCCUUCUGAAAGGAAGAUUAAUACAAGAUGGCAUCAUGAGUCCACAUGUUCACAUGAUUAAAGGUAUUCCGGUAGACGAUGGGGAUGCGUUCCAUUAGAUAGUAGGCGGGGUAACGGCCCACCUAGUCUUCGAUGGAUAGGGGUUCUGAGAGGAAGGUCCCCCACAUUGGAACUGAGACACGGUCCAAACUCCUACGGGAGGCAGCAGUGAGGAAUAUUGGUCAAUGGGCGAGAGCCUGAACCAGCCAAGUAGCGUGAAGGAUGACUGCCCUAUGGGUUGUAAACUUCUUUUAUAAAGGAAUAAAGUCGGGUAUGCAUACCCGUUUGCAUGUACUUUAUGAAUAAGGAUCGGCUAACCCCGUGCCAGCAGCCGCGGUAAUACGGAGGAUCCGAGCGUUAUCCGGAUUUAUUGGGUUUAAAGGGAGCGUAGAUGGAUGUUUAAGUCAGUUGUGAAAGUUUGCGGCUCAACCGUAAAAUUGCAGUUGAUACUGGAUAUCUUGAGUGCAGUUGAGGCAGGCGGAAUUCGUGGUGUAGCGGUGAAAUGCUUAGAUAUCACGAAGAACUCCGAUUGCGAAGGCAGCCUGCUUAAGCCUGGCAACCUGGAAAUUGAGGCUCCGAAAAGUGUGGGCAACCAACAGGAUUAGAUACCUUGUUAGUCCACACGGUAAACGAUGAAUUCUCGCUGUUUGCGAUAUACAGCAAGCGGCCAAGCGAAAGCGUUAAGUAUUCCACCUGGGGAGUACGCCGGCAACGGUGAAACUCAAAGGAAUUGACGGGGGCCCGCACAAGCGGAGGAACAUGUGGUUUAAUUCGAUGAUACGCGAGGAACCUUACCCGGGCUUAAAUUGCAGAUGAAUUACGGUGAAAGCCGUAAGCCGCAAGGCAUCUGUGAAGGUGCUGCAUGGUUGUCGUCAGCUCGUGCCGUGAGGUGUCGGCUUAAGUGCCAUAACGAGCGCAACCCUUGUUGUCAGUUACUAACAGGUUCUGCUGAGGACUCUGACAAGACUGCCAUCGUAAGAUGUGAGGAAGGUGGGGAUGACGUCAAAUCAGCACGGCCCUUACGUCCGGGGCUACACACGUGUUACAAUGGGGGGUACAGAGGGCCGCUACCACGCGAGUGGAUGCCAAUCCCAAAAACCUCUCUCAGUUCGGACUGGAGUCUGCAACCCGACUCCACGAAGCUGGAUUCGCUAGUAAUCGCGCAUCAGCCACGGCGCGGUGAAUACGUUCCCGGGCCUUGUACACACCGCCCGUCAAGCCAUGGGAGCCGGGGGUACCUGAAGUGCGUAAAAGGGAGGAGCGCCCUAGGGUAAAACUGGUGACUGG